UACGAAGGGGGCUAGCGUUGCUCGGAAUCACUGGGCGUAAAGGGCGCGUAGGCGGCCAUUCAAGUCAGAGGUGAAAGCCCAAGGCUCAACCUUGGAACUGCCUUUGAUACUGUUUGGCUUGAGACCGGUAGAGGUAAGUGGAACUGCGAGUGUAGAGGUGAAAUUCGUAGAUAUUCGGAAGAACACCAGUGGCGAAGGCGACUCGCUGGACAGACAUUGACGCUGAGGUGCGAAAGCGUGGGGAGCAAACAGG
This 253-nucleotide ribosomal RNA is filed under the name uncultured bacterium. RNAcentral describes it as "partial 16S ribosomal RNA". It matches the Rfam family "Bacterial small subunit ribosomal RNA", at positions 524 to 776 of the family's 1533-position model. The record is from RNAcentral.